UCAUCUUUUUUCUUUUCCUCAUCUUUUUCUUUUUUUUUUCAAACUUUUGCAUCAUUCAUAGUUUCAGGGAUCUUGAGCGUCUCCCGAAGGGCAUCAAGGAUCCGACGAUUUUCAUAGAAUUUAGGACCAUCUAUGGGUGGACACCUUUUUCCUAUAACAAAUUUAAUCGCUAGACGGCAUAGAUCGCCACAAUCGGUGCCCAC
Molecule: long non-coding RNA, 203 nt
Filed under: Elaeis guineensis (African oil palm)
Lineage: Eukaryota; Viridiplantae; Streptophyta; Magnoliopsida; Arecales; Arecaceae
Description: long non-coding RNA (EGUI_LNC025904)
Source: RNAcentral